ACGAACGCUGGCGGCGUGCUUAACACAUGCAAGUCGAACGGAAAGGCCCUGCUUUUGUGGGGUGCUCGAGUGGCGAACGGGUGAGUAACACGUGAGUAACCUGCCCUUGACUUUGGGAUAACUUCAGGAAACUGGGGCUAAUACCGGAUAGGAGCUCCUGCUGCAUGGUGGGGGUUGGAAAGUUUCGGCGGUAGGGGAUGGACUCGCGGCUUAUCAGCUUGUUGGUGGGGUAGUGGCUUACCAAGGCUUUGACGGGUAGCCGGCCUGAGAGGGUGACCGGCCACAUUGGGACUGAGAUACGGCCCAGACUCCUACGGGAGGCAGCAGUGGGGAAUAUUGCACAAUGGGCGGAAGCCUGAUGCAGCAACGCCGCGUGCGGGAUGACGGCCUUCGGGUUGUAAACCGCUUUCGCCUGUGACGAAGCGUGAGUGACGGUAAUGGGUAAAGAAGCACCGGCUAACUACGUG
This 467-nucleotide ribosomal RNA is filed under the name uncultured bacterium. Its description in RNAcentral is "partial 16S ribosomal RNA". It matches the Rfam family "Bacterial small subunit ribosomal RNA", at positions 29 to 507 of the family's 1533-position model. The record is from RNAcentral.